Long non-coding RNA from Mus musculus (house mouse), 1398 nucleotides. RefSeq annotates it as predicted gene, 33599. The record is from RefSeq and is a predicted model, not a curated record. The transcript has 3 exons. Lineage: Eukaryota; Metazoa; Chordata; Mammalia; Rodentia; Muridae.
CAUAGAAGAGUACUUCUGGAGUUUCCUCUGGUCAUCCAUUUCCUCAGAAACUUCUAACUGGCACUUCAGAACUUGGAGGGACUCACUCGUCUGAAAGCAGAGAUGAAGGAUUCUGAAAGCAUAUGGAUUGGGAAGGCAUUCAUGAACUCUGGCAGCCAUCAAGGACCUAGUCUGGGAAUAGUGCAUACGCAUAGCAGUGUAGACCCAAAGCCCUUUCUUGGCUAAAGAUUAGAUUUUAAUGGGAGGAGGUGGUCAAUAAACAAUGCUAUCUAGACAUCAGAUAAUAAAUACUUAGGAAAGUUUAAAAUCAGUUCACAUAGAGAAAGAAUAUUAGCAAAGAAUACUGUUUAGGAAGUUUGUUAAGAUUAAAUUUGGGUGGACACUUAAAGGGAGGAGGAAACAUUUUUUUUGAGGAAACGUAUUUUAGGUAAAUGUGUAUACAGCAGCCCUAAACCUAGAACUAUACCUGGCUUUACAAAGAACACCAUGAGUGGAUAUAGAGACUGGGGUAGCUACCUCUUAUAGCCAGGCAGGACUUCCAGAGGAGGGAGGGGGACAUCAAUCCAUCCAUAAAACCUUUAACCCAAAAUUUGUCUUGGCUAAAGAUGCACAGGGAUAAAGAUGGAUCAGAGACUGAGGGGACAGCCAACUAAUGACUGCCACAACUUGAGGCCCGUCCCAUGUGAGAGAGUCAACCCCUGACACUAUUAAUGACACUCUGCUGUGCUUGCAGACAGGAACCUAGCACAACUGUCUCCUGAGAGGCUUCAUCUAGCAGUGGAUGGAGGCAGAUGUAGAAGCCCAUAUCCAAACAUCAGGGAGAGCUCCUGGAAUCUUGGUUUCAGUGUUUUGUAAGCAUUCUUCUCCAUCACCUUCUGAUUGGUCAGUAAAGAGCUGAUUCAGCCUAUGGCUGUGCAGAGGAGAUAAGAGGGCUGGACUUCCAAUCCCAGUCAGAGGUCCCUCAUACAAGUAAGACAAGAACCACAAGGAAGGAUGAGAAGAGGUGGUCUUGAGGCAGAGGACCCUGGAGGAGCCGUGAUGAACCAGUCGCCAAGGGAUUUGUCUUGAGGACACACAUGGAGCAGAACAAGCCAGGGAAUCUAAUAGGAAUUUGGAUGGGCACAACCACUGGAUCUUUGACUCUCCGUCUGUAAGCUGUGAGUGAAAAGAGCUAAGAUAAGUAAACAAACUUCUUAAUUGCAUUUGUUUCAGUGAAAUUCGUUAAUAUAUGCAUUUAGUAUACACUAAGAAAAAUAAUUAAAAUACUAGAUUACACAUGAGAAAACAUAUAAGAGCAUUGUUUUAUUUUUUCUCUCUUCAGGAGAUAACUCUAAAACAAUAAUUGUCUUCAAGAUAAACCAAGGAAACCAUGGAAACUGAUAUGAAGCAGGGAAGGAG